Molecule: long non-coding RNA, 1395 nt
Organism: Rosa chinensis
Lineage: Eukaryota; Viridiplantae; Streptophyta; Magnoliopsida; Rosales; Rosaceae
Exons: 3
Source: RefSeq, a predicted model, not a curated record
GAACUAGCAGUAGCCCACACCUUUUCAAAUGAGCAAGAAACAGAGAAGCAAAUGCCCCAGUAGAUUUCACCUCUGCGCCCCUUAGUAGAUUCACUUUCUCCCUCUGCCAUGGACCCUUGCUCGAUGCUUGUGCUCAUCGGCUCCCUAUUUCUGUCUGAUCGGAGAGAGCUUCUCCGUUACGAUUUCAGUGGUUCUGGAGUGAAACUCAAACCGAGAAUGCAAAACGUCGUCGCCUACUCCAGCGCCUCAGCUCGCAUCGGAACCUCUGCAAUGUGAUCAUCGCAGCCUCCAACGGAAUUUGUGUGUGGACUCGUCUCCAUAGUUUGGUACGAUCACGGAGAGAAUUGGUAAUUUCUUUCCGAUUGGCACCUCUCUCUUUUCUGCUCUUGAUCGAGCUACUGUCUCUCAUGGAAUCUCUUUCCUUGGUUGUUAUAUCCAGUUUUCAUCCGUCAAUUUGAAAGUAUAGUUGAAUUGGUUGAAUUUUGAAGAAGAAGAAUUUGUGCUAUUUUCAAGAAGGAUUGAUGGCAUUUUGCAGAAAUAGAAGAAUUAGAUGUAUAUAUUUGAAGAAGAAGAAGAAUUUAUUGAUUGUUGAAAGAAGAAGUGAAUCAUUUUUUGAAGAAGAAAAUUAUUGGAUUUUGAACGAGUAGAAGAAUUAGUUGUAAAUGUUUGUCGAAGAGUUGAAUUUUUGAAGCUGAUGAAUUGGUUGAAUUUUUUUGAUGAAGUAGUUGAAUUAGUUGUAUAUAGUUUGAACAAGAAGAAUUGAAUGAUUUGAAGAAGAAGAAUCGGUUGAAUUUUGAAGAAGUGGAUGAAUUAGUUGUACAUAGUUUGAAGAAGAGGAAUUGAAUGAUUUGAAGAAGAAGAAUUAUGUGAUUGGCAGAGAAGAAGAUUUAGUUGAAUAUUGCAGCUUUUCGUUUCUUGUUUUUGGACGGGAUAGUUCUGGAUAUGAUUUUGGUAUUGGUUAUGGUUUGAGGAUUUAUGGAGGUGGAGCAGGUGACAAGAUUUUAUGCACUGGUAAUUGCUGCAACUAUUAUCCUGGUGUUUGGUGUUGGUAGUGCUGUGGGCAUCUCAUCCAAGAUGGGACUGCUGUGGUUGCUUUGCAAGAAUGUUGAAUGUUCAGACUACAAGAAAGAAGGGUUGCUAGACAGACAUCAAUUAUUUGGCAUUGAGUUGCUCAGAACAUGGAGCUUUAGGAGAACUCAAAUUCAUAUAUCUUCUGCUUCAUAAGUUUUCAGUAGUCGAAGCAUAAGAAGACUAGGUAGCCAAAGGAAGAGAAUGUUACUCUUGGUCCUGCAGUCAGAGACGGAGAACAUGUUUUUGGUGUCGCACAUGUUUUCGCCUCUUUUGAUGACACAUUCAUUCAUGUGACUGAUCUCUCUGGAAGGUCGUAUCACUGGU